RNAcentral lists this ribosomal RNA (440 nucleotides) under uncultured bacterium. RNAcentral describes it as "partial 16S ribosomal RNA". It matches the Rfam family "Bacterial small subunit ribosomal RNA", at positions 338 to 795 of the family's 1533-position model. The record is from RNAcentral.
UCUACGGGUGGCUGCAGUGGGGGAUAUUGCACAAUGGGGGGAACCCUGAUGCAGCGACGCCGCGUGGGUGAAGAAGCGCCUCGGCGCGUAAAGCCCUGUCAGCAGGGACGAAAAUGACGGUACCUGAAGAAGAAGCCCCGGCUAACUACGUGCAAGCAGCCGAGGUAAUACGGAGGGGGCAAGCGUUAUCCGGAUUUACUGGGUGGAAAGGGGGCGCAGACGGCGAUGCAAGACAGGAGUGAAAGCCCGGGGCCAACCCCCGGGACUGCUCUUGGAACGGCGUGGCUGGAGUGCAGGAGGGGCAGGCGGAAUUCCUGGUGUAGCGGUGAAAUGCGUAGAUAUCAGGAGGAACCCCGGUGGCGAAGGCGGCCUGCUGGACUGCAACUGACGUUGAGGCCCGAAAGCGUGGGGAGCAAACAGGAUUAGAUACCCCUGUAGUC